UCGAAUUUUACGAUCUCUAUUUCUCUUCCGUCCGCGAAAACAUUCACAUUUUUAUCUUAUCCUCCUCCUUUUUCUUUCUUCUUUCGCUAAAAUCAGCCCCUUUCAGAAUUUCGCCAUUGUAAAGCUAUUUCAGCGAGACGAAUCGACCAACUUGGGAUUCCCCAGACACGGAUUUGGGAGGACGGUAUCCUCGACGCAUCCCAUCUCACCUUUACUGUCACACGGUGUUUUAUAUCGCGGUACCUUACGCAAAUCUCAUUACGCAACAUAUCACCGAAAUACACGAGAGCCCGGAACGUGUGUUCGACUUCUUGAAAGAGACAGAGACAGAUAGAAAGAGUAUUUGUAUCUGUAUGCAUACGUGCGUCUGUGUAAGUGUCGUGGUAAGGAAAAGAGAAGGAGAGAGAAGAGGAAAGGAUGGAUUCCUUCUGCGCGGAUGGAAAUUCGGAAAAACGUUUCACAAUCGUCGCGACAUCCUCGAUCAACCAGCUCGACAACGCUGAAAAACCGACGAACGACCGUUUAUAAAUAGACGUUAACAAACAUACGUUCACUCUCAGGUUAUUUUUAAUUGCGUCUCAACCUUAUAUCGGUGUACACUGCGCCGCGAUAAGCGAUCUCCAUUUUUGAUCGUAGAAUUCGUUCGAAUGCCGUUUAAAUUUAAAUCGAACGUCAAUUGUCAAACGACGAAGAAAAUUGAAAACCGAUGGCGAAGCAGAAUUAACGUAAGCAUUCAAGGUUGGACGGGAACAUAUUGGACCGACUAAGUAUCGGAUCGUGUUGUUUUCAUUGCUCGCAGAAUUUAUCUGGUGAAACGACUGACAAGAAGACGUGUGAUUUUAAUGCGCGUCUAUUUUCGUUUAGUUCAACAGCAAAAUUCUAUAUCUUCCUCCAAAUCGAAGAAAGCUUCUCCAUCUUCUAUCGUCAUGUUUUUCGCGACUUCAUAAUUUCAAACUUUAGAACUUGUAUUUGAUAGAAAGAUGAUAUCACGAUCGAGUAAAUUUCGAAUUUUUCAUUACGGAUAAUCAGCCGAGUUUCGAGCCGAUUUAAUUUUACGUCUGAUCUUUGAGCCGGUUGGUUCAGGAUGCACAUUAAUGGGGCAACGAGAUCGUUUUCCCGAGAAUCGAUUGCGACACACCGUGGCGAACGGAGAGGAUCCUCUAGGCUCUAGAGAACUAACAGCAAAAUUAGUCGGCCAGUGGACCGCCCGACAGGUGCGUGUGUGCGACGCAGAAAUUUUAGCAGACACCGAUAGAUACGCUCGCUCUUGGAACAAUAAUAGAGAACGGAUCUGUUGACACCAUGUGAUCCAUGAGUGCGCGAGCGAAUUUCGCGGCGACGGUACGGGAACGCCUCAAGGACGGCCAUUUUACAGUCUUUUCUGAGAAUCUUCUCGAAAACUGUGCACCAGAUAGUAAAGAAGAACGAAUAAAUCGUCGUAACAUAAUCUUCCUGAGGUAUUCGUAGAGGUACGAACGAAAAUCAAGCGCAUAAGCGAGCACGGUAUUCGACAGAUAGAAAGAAAGAGAGAGAACUCGCUACAAGAUGUCCGUCGCUUAUUUAUUUAUAGAGCGAGCACACAUCGGCACGCAUGGUCACAUGCUCGCGUGCACGGCGCACCGACUGUAACUUAAGGGUGAGCGUGAGACGCGCGAGCGCAUGCAAGAGUACGCGUACUCGCACGCGUUUCCCUCGGAAGUGGACAAAAAGUUCGCUCGACUCACCAGGUUUAUUUUGUACUCCGUUUAUUUCUUAACGCGGGGGCUGUUCUCAUUGUUUGCAGAAAUAAUACGAUGAAAGUGGCGCGAGUGGUUAAAGGAAAUAAAUUUGGAAAGCAGCGGUUUGGCCCGUUGAAAUCGGAAAUGAAAUUAUGCCGAGUUAAGAUGCAGAGAGUGGCAUUUUCUUCUGUUCGAGAUAUGCCACUAAUCUACUGUAGAAUUCAAUAUUAUAAGAAAGCAAGAUUCUUGAAAGAAAUUUUGGAAAUGGUUUGUCUACUUUCACGAGGCAGAUAUUCCAAAUAUGAAGCUUUUAUUGUAAUUUCGGUGUGCUGUUUGACCAGAUAUUAAAAUAUUACUCUAAA
Long non-coding RNA from Bombus huntii, 2080 nucleotides. RefSeq lists it as uncharacterized. NCBI's taxonomy places the organism in Eukaryota, Metazoa, Arthropoda, Insecta, Hymenoptera, Apidae. The transcript has 2 exons. The record is from RefSeq and is a predicted model, not a curated record.